UACGGAGGGUGCAAGCGUUAUCCGGAUUCACUGGGUUUAAAGGGUGUGUAGGCGGGCUAUUAAGUCAGUGGUGAAAUCUCCGGGCUCAACCCGGAAACUGCACUUGAUACUGCGUGGCUCGGGUACUGGAGAGGAGACUGGAAUUUACGGUGUAGCAGUGAAAUGCGUAGAUAUCGUAAGGAAGACCAGUGGCGAAGGCGAGUCUCUGGACAGUUACCGACGCUGAGGCACGAAGGUCAGGGGAGCAAACGGG
RNAcentral lists this ribosomal RNA (253 nucleotides) under uncultured bacterium. RNAcentral describes it as "partial 16S ribosomal RNA". It matches the Rfam family "Bacterial small subunit ribosomal RNA", at positions 524 to 776 of the family's 1533-position model. The record is from RNAcentral.